RNAcentral lists this long non-coding RNA (252 nucleotides) under Zostera marina. RNAcentral describes it as "long non-coding RNA (ZMAR_LNC000408)". The record is from RNAcentral. Lineage: Eukaryota; Viridiplantae; Streptophyta; Magnoliopsida; Alismatales; Zosteraceae.
AAAAUCCUCACCUACGGAUGAACGUAGGUAGACGAGGAAUCACACUUACCUCAGUCGCAGAAAAGCGAGCAAAAAGAGGGGGCAAGUAUUCAAAUAACAAUCCUCACCUACGGAUGAACGUAGGUAGACGAGGAAUCACACUUAGCCUCAUUCGCAGAAAGGCGAGCAAAAGGAGGGGGCAAAUAUUCAAGUAAUAAUCCUCACCUACGGAUGAACGUAGGUAGACGAGGAAUCACACUGAGCCUCAGUCGC